ACGGCGUGAUGAAGGGAAGAUGAUGAAGAGACAAGCCCGUGGACAUGAGGAAGAGGAGAGGAAGUGGACACACUGAGAUUUUCAGGAGUCACGGUCUCACUGAAGAGAGAGCGAGAGAGAGAGAGAGACAGACACACACACACACACACACACACAGACAGACGACGACAGCAGCAGCAGCAGCAGCAGCGUUUGUCCUUCUUCCACUCAGUUGUGUGACCUGCUGACGGUCAGCGCGAGCGACGCGACGCACGAAGAAACUUGAGACAAACACACGGAGAGCCGACAAUCACAGGGUGUUCAUCCCUCUGUGGGCAACUGAAUGAGACGUUUCGCAAGAGGAGUGGGGGGAAAAAAAACAACAGGAAA
Molecule: long non-coding RNA, 369 nt
Organism: Solea senegalensis (Senegalese sole)
Lineage: Eukaryota; Metazoa; Chordata; Actinopteri; Pleuronectiformes; Soleidae
Exons: 2
Source: RefSeq, a predicted model, not a curated record